UUUCUCUCCUAAGGACUGACAGGGCAGAACCUGAGCAAUGGGUUUUGGACUGAAUGGAAUUUUCAUUCUGAUUCUUUUACAAGGUGUCCAUUGUGAUGUUCAGCUGGUAGAGUCUGGGGGUGGUGUGAGAGAGACUGGAGGAUCUCUUAGCCUUUCCUGCAAAGCUUCUGGAUUCACCUUCAGCAGCUAUGGCAUGACCUGGGUCGGCCAGUCUCCAGGGAAGGGGCUGGAGUGGCUUGCAUAUAUUUAUAGUAAUGGAGGAACCACCUACUAUGCAGACUCUGUGAAAGGCCGAUUCACCAUCUCCAGGGACAACAGCAACAGCAUGCUGCACCUGAAAAUGAAUUCUCUUAAAGCUGAGGACACAGCCACGUAUUACUGUGCCAAUAACACAGUGAGAAAAAGAAGUGUCCAGUGUGAUGUGCAGCUGGUGGAGUCUGGGGGAGAUGUGACACAGCCUGGAGGUUCUCUGCAUCUCUCCUGCAAAGCUUCUGGAUUUACCUUCAGUAGCUACUGGAUGAACUGGGUCCUUUAA
Non-coding RNA from Phascolarctos cinereus (koala), 535 nucleotides. The record is from the annotation of a RefSeq genome assembly. Lineage: Eukaryota; Metazoa; Chordata; Mammalia; Diprotodontia; Phascolarctidae.